This 503-nucleotide ribosomal RNA is filed under the name uncultured Glomus. RNAcentral's name for it is "SSU rRNA". It matches the Rfam family "Eukaryotic small subunit ribosomal RNA", at positions 565 to 1073 of the family's 1831-position model. The record is from RNAcentral. Lineage: Eukaryota; Fungi; Glomeromycota; Glomeromycetes; Glomerales; Glomeraceae.
AGCCAGCAGCCGCGGUAAUUCCAGCUCCAAUAGCGUAUAUUAAAGUUGUUGCAGUUAAAAAGCUCGUAGUUGAAUUUCGGGAUCAAAGAAUCGGUCAUGCCUUGGUAUGUACUGGUUUUAUUGGUUCUCACCUUCUAAAGAACCAUGAUGUCAUUCAUUUGAUGUUAUGGGGAAUUAGGACUGUUGCCUUGAAAAAAUUAGAGUGUUUAAAGCAAGCUUACGCUUGAAUACAUUAACAUGGAAUAAUGAAAUAGGACAUCAGAUUCUAUUUUGUUGGUUUCUAGGAUCGAUGUAAUGAUUAAUAGGGAUAGUUGGGGGCAUUAGUAUUCAAUUGUCAGAGGUGAAAUUCUUGGAUUUAUUGAAGACUAACUACUGCGAAAGCAUUUGCCAAGGAUGUUUUCAUUAAUCAAGAACUAAAGUUACGGGAUCGAAGACGAUCAGAUACCGUGCGUAUCUUAACCAUAAACUAUGCCGACUAGGGAUCGGAUGAUGUUAAUUUUUUA